This 691-nucleotide long non-coding RNA is filed under the name Populus trichocarpa (black cottonwood). RNAcentral describes it as "long non-coding RNA (PTRI_LNC000377)". Lineage: Eukaryota; Viridiplantae; Streptophyta; Magnoliopsida; Malpighiales; Salicaceae. The record is from RNAcentral.
UGUGUGGAAGGAAUGCAUUUGCAUGCUCUUGCAUGUGGUUGUGAUUGCUUGGAGAUCCACUUGCUGGCUGCCAUUGUUGACUUUGGUUCUUGACUUUGGCUGUGCUUUGGACAUCUAUCUCCUUCAAAUAACUUCCUUUGUCUCGGCUGGGAGUUUGCAUAUGGCUGUGAUUGCUUGAGAUCCACUUGCUGGCUGCCAUUGUUGACUUCGGUGCUUAGCUUUGGCUGUGCUUUGGACAUCUGUCUCCUUCACAUGGCUUCCUUUGUCUUGGCUGGGAGUUUGCUAUUCUUGGUUGCUGCAGUAGCUGACUCUCCUUCAACGGCUUGCAGCCUGCUAUGAUGAUCACCGGCUUGUUGAUCCUUCACUCCAGUUCUUAGUGGUUCUUGGCCUGGCUUGCAUUGGGCUGAAGUUUGUUGCUUGUUUCUGUUAUUUCUUGUAUGAUCUCUUUAUGGUUAUCAGGAUGCUCCUUCGUCCUGUUUUUUGCUUUGUGUUAGGUUAGGAACUUUCUAGUUUUUGGUUCCUCUCAUAACCGUUGUCUGUUUCUAUGCUGUUUUUCCAUUCAGUGGUUGUUGUUUCGGUCUCUAAGGGAGCAUGUUCCCUUUCUGUUCAUCCUGUAUCUGAACUUGCUGGUUUUCCGGCAAUGUAUAUCUUUUGAUCUUUUAUACACUUACAUUUGAUAAAAAAAAAAAAA